This 492-nucleotide ribosomal RNA is filed under the name uncultured bacterium. RNAcentral's name for it is "partial 16S ribosomal RNA". It matches the Rfam family "Bacterial small subunit ribosomal RNA", at positions 29 to 507 of the family's 1533-position model. The record is from RNAcentral.
AGUGAACGCUGGCGGUAGGCCUAACACAUGCAAGUCGAACGGCAGCACAGUAAGAGCUUGCUCUUACGGGUGGCGAGUGGCGGACGGGUGAGGAAUACAUCGGAAUCUACUUUUUCGUGGGGGAUAACGUAGGGAAACUUACGCUAAUACCGCAUACGACCUACGGGUGAAAGCAGGGGAUCUUCGGACCUUGCGCGAAUGAAUGAGCCGAUGUCGGAUUAGCUAGUUGGCGGGGUAAAGGCCCACCAAGGCGACGAUCCGUAGCUGGUCUGAGAGGAUGAUCAGCCACACUGGAACUGAGACACGGUCCAGACUCCUACGGGAGGCAGCAGUGGGGAAUAUUGGACAAUGGGCGCAAGCCUGAUCCAGCCAUACCGCGUGGGUGAAGAAGGCCUUCGGGUUGUAAAGCCCUUUUGUUGGGAAAGAAAAGCAGCAGGUUAAUACCCCGCUGUCCUGACGGUACCCAAAGAAUAAGCACCGGCUAACUUCGUG